Molecule: ribosomal RNA, 486 nt
Filed under: uncultured bacterium
Lineage: Bacteria
Description: partial 16S ribosomal RNA
Rfam family: Bacterial small subunit ribosomal RNA
Source: RNAcentral
GAUGAACGCUGGCGGCGUGCCUAAUACAUGCAAGUCGAACGCUGGAAAUCUAGCUUGCUAGAUUGAAGGAGUGGCGAACGGGUGAGUAAUACAUAAGCAACCUACCCACGAAGACUGGGAUAAUCUCUGGAAACGGGGACUAAUACCGGAUAGGUAAUCGGAAGGCAUCUUCUGAUUAUUAAAGGUUAAAAACACUGGUGGAUGGGCUUAUGGCGCAUUAGUUAGUUGGUGAGGUAACGGCCCACCAAGACGAUGAUGCGUAGCCGGCCUGAGAGGGUGAACGGCGACAUUGGGACUGAGAAAAGGCCCAGACACAUACGGGAGGCAGCAGUAGGGAAUGUUCGGGAAUGGGGGAAACCCUGACCGAGCAACGCCGCGUGAGUGAUGACGGCCUUCGGGGUGUAAAGCUCUGUUGUAAGGGAAGAACGGUAGAUAGAGAAUAUCUAAAUGACGGUACCUUACCAGAAAGCCACGGCUAACUACGUG